Molecule: ribosomal RNA, 253 nt
Filed under: uncultured bacterium
Lineage: Bacteria
Description: partial 16S ribosomal RNA
Rfam family: Bacterial small subunit ribosomal RNA
Source: RNAcentral
UACAGAGGGGGCAAGCGUUGUUCGGAAUUACUGGGCGUAAAGGGCGCGUAGGCGGCCUGUUAAGUCGGACGUGAAAUCCCUCGGCUUAACCGGGGAACUGCGUCUGAUACUGGAUGGCUUGAGUUUGGGAGAGGGAUGCGGAAUUCCAGGUGUAGCGGUGAAAUGCGUAGAUAUCUGGAGGAACACCGGUGGCGAAGGCGGCAUCCUGGACCAACACUGACGCUGAGGAGCGAAAGCCAGGGGAGCAAACGGG